GGCCCGAUCGUCUAGUGGUAGGAUACAUGCGUGAUGUAGCAUGAGACCCGUGUUCGAUUCACGGUCCGGCGA
Molecule: non-coding RNA, 72 nt
Organism: Clonostachys byssicola
Lineage: Eukaryota; Fungi; Ascomycota; Sordariomycetes; Hypocreales; Bionectriaceae
Source: the annotation of a GenBank genome assembly